This 235-nucleotide unclassified non-coding RNA is filed under the name Helotiales sp. Its description in RNAcentral is "partial contains 5.8S ribosomal RNA, internal transcribed spacer 2, and large subunit ribosomal RNA". Lineage: Eukaryota; Fungi; Ascomycota; Leotiomycetes; Helotiales. The record is from RNAcentral.
CGCACAUUGCGCCCCUUGGUAUUCCGAGGGGCAUGCCUGUUCGAGCGUCAUUAUGACCAAUCCCGUAAAGGGGUUUUGGGGCUCGCCAUUUAGGCGUCCCUUAAAUUCAGUAGCGGUGCUAUCGUACUCUAAGCGUAGUAAUUCUUCUCGCUAUAGAGUUACGCUAAGUACUUGUUAAAAACCUUCAUUUUAUUAGGUUGACCUCGGAUCAGGUAGGGAUACCCGCUGAACUUAA